Equus quagga is the source of this 1713-nucleotide RNA transcript. It is a transcript of the gene named lipid droplet assembly factor 1, with no coding region annotated. The record is from RefSeq and is a predicted model, not a curated record. Lineage: Eukaryota; Metazoa; Chordata; Mammalia; Perissodactyla; Equidae. The transcript is spliced from 6 exons.
CUGACUCCCGCCCCACCCCGCCCCGCCCCGCCCGGCUGCGAGUGUCUUCCUCUGCCUCGUAUUCCUCCCUGCGCUCCCCUGCAGGUCAGGGGCUGCGCGGCCGCCAGCACCAGUGACAGUAAGAGACAGGGUGAUAUGAGAGGUUCGGCUGUGCCCUGCACUGGAGAGCUUACUGGUAGAACAAUUAAUCCCUGAAGAGACUGAAGUGGGUUUCAGGAUGGCGAAAGAGGAGCCCCCGAGUAUCUCCAAGGACCUGCAGGAGCUACAGAGGAAGCUAUCUUUGCUGAUAGAAUCCAUCCAGAAUAACUCAGAGGUGGUAGCCCUUUUGAAGUCUCCAGUGGGUCAGUACCUGGACAGGCAUCCUUUUGUGGCUCUCACCUUGCUGGUGUUUGCUGCGAUGUCGGCCGUUCCUGUUGGGUUCUUCCUGCUCCUCGUGGUGCUUACCUUCCUGGUCGCUUUUGUGGGAGUCAUAUUACUGGAAGGACUGAUCAUCUCUGUGGGCGGCCUCUCACUGCUUUGUGUCCUCUGUGGCUUGGGUUUCGUGUCACUCAUCAUAUCGGGGACAAUUAUAGUGUCCUACAUGGUGGUCUCCAGCCUCGUCAACUACUGGUUUUCUCCCAGAAUCUGAGUCCCAAUUGGGAUGUGACUCCAUUGUGCUUCAUGUAAGCUCUUGCUGAAGUGAGGACAGUGGCUGGGACCCAUCGAGCACUUGCUCUGCACCAGGGACUCCGCUCUGCACUUUCCAGGCCUUAGCUCACGUAAUCCUCACACCCACCCUGUGGGGCAGAUCAUUCACACAACAAAACUCCAGUGGCGACUGUCAGCUGGCUAUGAAGUCCACAGACUUGGAGGGGCUUUACCAGGAAUGACCGACUGAAUGGAACCAGAGCGUUCUUCCGUGCAGUUCUGGAAGGCUGUUGGAUCAUGCACGCCCCUCAGGAUUAUGACUGAGAAGGGGGCCAGGUAGUCAAGCACUCCUUGGAGGUGGCCUCUAGCCUUCUCACUUAUUUGUAGGAUCCUACAGAGGCAAAUUGGAGAUUUUGUUGCUCUUGUGUCAAUUCUGUGGGCUCACCCACCCUCACCUGGAGAAUCAGCAGAGAACUGCAGUGGCUUAUCAGCUCCUCCUGCCUCUCACCCCCUCCUCCCCAGAUAUGCAGACUUGACCUUGGCAGGAUCCUGAGCCUCUAGAGCCAGGCAGCUUGACCCCAAAGGCUCAGAUCUUUGUCCAAAAGCCCAAUUUGGGGCAAAAAUGGAUUGUUUUUUCUUUUUCUUCUGUUUUAUUUUAUGAUGUUUUUGGAAAUGAGAAAAGCUGUUUAUUUCUUCACUCACUUGAAACAAGAGGUAGGGGGAAAAAUUCCAAACAGAACCAUCUCUUCUGCCUUAUUAGCUUUUUGUCAGAAAGAAUAGCAACAGUUGGUGAUAAUGGCCCCUCAGACAAAGUUGGAAAAUAGGGUCCAAACUUAUGGCCAAGACCAUUUUUUAAAAGUCUAAACCUAUAGUUUCCACUGUUGAGUACUGUUACAUGCUGUUACUCUUUUAAAUGUUUGCACUUGAUACUUUUGUAUUGUUUUAAAGAACUUGCCGUUAAGCCAUUUCUUUAAAAAGUCCUAUGUAAUACUAAAGGACUACAAUAAUUUUAAAAACCCUAUGGGAUUUCUUCUUCAGUGGUUGGUUUGCUGUGGCUUUUCAUUCAAUAAAUAUUUAUUUAGACUA